This is a long non-coding RNA of Trematomus bernacchii (emerald rockcod), 332 nucleotides long. RefSeq lists it as uncharacterized. The record is from RefSeq and is a predicted model, not a curated record. Lineage: Eukaryota; Metazoa; Chordata; Actinopteri; Perciformes; Nototheniidae. The transcript has 4 exons.
AGGGGCUGCAGUUGUAGGUGCAGCAGUUGUUGUAGGUGAUGCUGUUGUUGUUGCAACAGUAGUAGGGGCUGCAGUUGUAAGAGCAGCAGUUGUUGUAGGUGAUGCUGUUGUUGUUGCAACAGUAGUAGGUGCUGCAGUUGUAGGUGAAGCAGUAGUUGUAGGUGGCACCGUUGUCGGAGCAGCAGUAGUUGUAGGUGAUGCUGUUGUUGCAAUAGUAGUAGGUGCGGCUGUCGUAUGUGCAGUUGUCGUAGGUGAAGCGGUAGUUGUAGGUUGCACUGUUGUCGGAGCAGCAGUAGUUGUAGGUGCUGCUGUUGUUGUUGCAAUAGUAGUAG